AUGAAAGUGUUUGUUGAUGCAGCUGUCAACUCUCCUGAGUUAGUAUCUAACUACCAUGGGAUGAUAGCAGGCUCUGGGCUGGGAGUCCUCAUCUCUCAGUUCCCAAGAACAGCAACCCAGAGACAUGGAGAAAGGAUGGAAAUAACCUGUGUCCAGAAUGACACUAGCUACACCUAUAUGUACUGGUACAAACAACUCAAGACAGAAGGUCCAAGGUUAAUAGCCUUAAGUGUAUAUGGAUCGAAUGCUACUUAUGAGAAGGACUACAAUGCUUCCAAGUUUCCAGUCACUAGACCCAAUACCGGAACCUCUUCCAUGAACAUCGUAGCUCUGGAAACCCAGGAUUCAGCCAGCUACUUCUGUGCAGCCAAACUCCGCCUACUAAAGGAACAUAGAACUUUGCUCAAUGAAAAUGAUCACUCUGGCUUGUCU
Molecule: non-coding RNA, 432 nt
Organism: Pelodiscus sinensis (Chinese soft-shelled turtle)
Lineage: Eukaryota; Metazoa; Chordata; Testudines; Trionychidae
Source: the annotation of a RefSeq genome assembly